RNAcentral lists this transfer RNA (65 nucleotides) under Dipodomys ordii (Ord's kangaroo rat). It matches the Rfam family "tRNA". Rfam says of the family: Transfer RNA (tRNA) molecules are approximately 80 nucleotides in length. Their secondary structure includes four short double-helical elements and three loops (D, anti-codon, and T loops). Further hydrogen bonds mediate the characteristic L-shaped molecular structure. tRNAs have two regions of fundamental functional importance: the anti-codon, which is responsible for specific mRNA codon recognition, and the 3' end, to which the tRNAs corresponding amino acid is attached (by aminoacyl-tRNA synthetases). tRNAs cope with the degeneracy of the genetic code in two manners: having more than one tRNA (with a specific anti-codon) for a particular amino acid; and 'wobble' base-pairing, i.e. permitting non-standard base-pairing at the 3rd anti-codon position. Lineage: Eukaryota; Metazoa; Chordata; Mammalia; Rodentia; Heteromyidae. The record is from Rfam by way of RNAcentral.
GGUGGCUCACUGGUAGAGCAUUUGCCUUGCAUGCAUGAGGCCCUGGGUUCCAUUCCUCAGCACCA